GCUGCUUGACCAACUGAGCCACCCAGCUUUCACUUCUAUAGGAUCUCUGGAACAGUGCUGGAUGAAGCGACUAUGAUAAUCUCUACACCCAAUGCAAGGCUCAGACUCACGACCCCCAGAUCGAGUCGCACGCUCUACCAACUGAGCCAGCCAGGUGCUGCUUAUUUCUGUUAUUUAAAAACUAGUAAUAAAGGUUGAAAAAACCCAAGUUGGGUCUGUUAGUAAAAAAAGGGGGUGCCUCCAUUUCUGUGAUCCCCCACAAUCUGCCUGGCCCUCUCCACCCUCCCUUUGCUCCCCAGUCCCAGGGCUUACA
Molecule: long non-coding RNA, 313 nt
Organism: Mustela erminea (ermine)
Lineage: Eukaryota; Metazoa; Chordata; Mammalia; Carnivora; Mustelidae
Exons: 3
Source: RefSeq, a predicted model, not a curated record